Molecule: transfer RNA, 75 nt
Filed under: Neisseriales bacterium
Lineage: Bacteria; Pseudomonadati; Pseudomonadota; Betaproteobacteria; Neisseriales
Description: tRNA-Val
Rfam family: tRNA
About the family: Transfer RNA (tRNA) molecules are approximately 80 nucleotides in length. Their secondary structure includes four short double-helical elements and three loops (D, anti-codon, and T loops).
Source: RNAcentral
GGGUGGUUAGCUCAGUGGUAGAGCGCCUGCUUUACACGCAGGAUGUCGGCGGUUCAAUCCCGUCACCACCCACCA